Molecule: ribosomal RNA, 444 nt
Filed under: Pseudomonas putida
Lineage: Bacteria; Pseudomonadati; Pseudomonadota; Gammaproteobacteria; Pseudomonadales; Pseudomonadaceae
Description: bacterial SSU rRNA
Rfam family: Bacterial small subunit ribosomal RNA
Source: RNAcentral
GCUUGCUCCUUGAUUCACGCGGCGGACGGGUGAGUAAUGCCUAGGAAUCUGCCUGGUAGUGGGGGACAACGUUUCGAAAGGAACGCUAAUACCGCAUACGUCCUACGGGAGAAAGCAGGGGACCUUCGGGCCUUGCGCUAUCAGAUGAGCCUAGGUCGGAUUAGCUAGUUGGUGGGGUAAUGGCUCACCAAGGCGACGAUCCGUAACUGGUCUGAGAGGAUGAUCAGUCACACUGGAACUGAGACACGGUCCAGACUCCUACGGGAGGCAGCAGUGGGGAAUAUUGGACAAUGGGCGAAAGCCUGAUCCAGCCAUGCCGCGUGUGUGAAGAAGGUCUUCGGAUUGUAAAGCACUUUAAGUUGGGAGGAAGGGCAGUAAGUUAAUACCUUGCUGUUUUGACGUUACCGACAGAAUAAGCACCGGCUAACUCUGUGCCAGCAGCCG